UUUACAUUGACUAAUUAUUAAAAUCUGAAUUACAACUACAAAAGUUUUUUGUUCUUGGAAAAAUAAAACUAAAGCUUUGCGACCAUUUGUCAGCACCCUUGGAAGUGGAGGGGA
Non-coding RNA from Biomphalaria pfeifferi, 114 nucleotides. NCBI's taxonomy places the organism in Eukaryota, Metazoa, Mollusca, Gastropoda, Planorbidae. The record is from the annotation of a GenBank genome assembly.